GACGAACGCUGGCGGCGUGCUUAACACAUGCAAGUCGAACGGAAAGGCCUCUUUCGGGGGGUACUCGAGUGGCGAACGGGUGACUAACACGUGAGUAACCUGCCCUUGACUUUGGGAUAACUUCAGGAAACUGGGGCUAAUACCGGAUAGGAGCUCCUGCUGCAUGGUGGGGGUUGGAAAGUUUCGGCGGUUGGGGAUGGACUCGCGGCUUAUCAGCUUGUUGGUGGGGUAGUGGCUUACCAAGGCUUUGACGGGUAGCCGGCCUGAGAGGGUGACCGGCCAAAUUGGGACUGAGAUACGGCCCAGACUCCUACGGGAGGCAGCAGUGGGGAAUAUUGCACAAUGGGUGGAAGCCUGAUGCAGCAACGCCGUGUGCGGGAUGACGGCCUUCGGGUUGUAAACCGCUUUCGCUCAUGACGAAGCUUUGUGUGACGGUAGUGGGUAAAGAAGCACCGGCUAACUACGUG
Molecule: ribosomal RNA, 467 nt
Filed under: uncultured bacterium
Lineage: Bacteria
Description: partial 16S ribosomal RNA
Rfam family: Bacterial small subunit ribosomal RNA
Source: RNAcentral